GUCUCCAAUGUGCAAAUUGCAGAAAUUGGCUUCUCCCACUCCUCUUUUGCCAGGAAAUGAGGAACGCACAGAGGAGGAACACUGAAGACCUGGGGAACAUUCAUUUUCAUGUUACUGUAUUACGGUGUUGUGUUUGGUGGGUUCAGGGGAGACAGCAGAGGGGGCCGGACUAGAAGGAAUGGGCUGGAGGUUGACUUGGCCGAGUCCCAUGGGUCAGAGAAGGCAAUUUCAGCCACUAAAGAGCGAAAAUGUCACAGGAUCUCUAUCCACUUCCACAUUUAUGCAGACUGAAACCCCACAUGCCCCAAACUGAAUUCAUCUUCUUCCCUCCAAAGCCUGUUCUUUUCUGCUGGCCCUUCUGUCUCCCAAUUGCUCCAAUGAGUGUAAGGAACUAAAGUCAUCUUGACUCUCCCUCUUCCUUAUCUCAUUAAUACAUCUUACGAGUUUUAUAAGAUUAUAGUAUCUCUGGAAUCAUCUAUCCUCCCACCUCCACUUCUCCAUCUUAGUCCAAGCACUUGUCCCUUCUGGCCUGGAUGACUGCAAUGGCCGCAUUCUUGUUGUCUCCCAAUCCAUUCCUCAGCCUGCAGGAAAGUUCACAUUUUUUUAAGGCUAAAGAUCAUAUUGUUAUCCCUCUUGCUCUAAAGCUCUUGCAUGUUUUCCACUGCCCUUUAAGUUUGGGCUCAAGUCUCAAAGUCCUUAACCAUGAUUUCCUAGGACUUCCUCAGUGCAGUCCUGCCCUUACCCACCCAUCCCUGCUCUCCUCCACUGCCUCCCUGCUCCUGGGUGCCUUCAGGCCUUUCACGUGCUCACACUCAUCUCAGAGCCUCUGACUAUGUGGUUCCCUCUGCCUGAUAUCAGGGUUCAGAACAUGAUACCCCAGAGUAUGGCUCCUUGGUAUGCUGGGUACUUUGAACUGACAGAGAUUACAAGGGCCUCGGAAACAAGGUCACUCUGACCUUCUCCUAUCCUGCUUUCUCCCUCAAACAAGGCACAGAAACUAGAAUUCUUCAUCUCAAAGCAAGUCAUAAACCUAGGAAGGUCUUUGACCUUCUCCCUUCCCUGCUGAAAGCCCUCCUGUGACAGGUGUCCUGCCCCAUACCUUGCGGGGAGGCAUGUCUUACAGAGACACAGAAAAGACUCUGGACAAACAGGCCCUGCAGACCUCCACUGCCCCUCAGUUCAUUCCCAUUAGAUCAGACCCUUUUUUGUCCAAUCGUAUUUCUUCAUAACCAUGCACUUUUUUCUUCAGACCUUACAUAAAAAUGUAACUUUCUUUCGGUUUUUGGGUCUUCAUUUCUGAAGACUUCAUGUCACAUAAAACUUUGUUAAGUAAGUUUGUUGUGCUUUCCUUGUGUUACACUCUUUCAUUAUCAGAAUUGUCAGUCAUGAUUGUAUGACUGAUGGAUGAAGAAAAGGUAUGACUUUUUCCCCCCUACCCUGGAACGGCCCUUCUUUGCUCUGUUCUCUUCCAUAGCACCAAGCCUGGUGUCAUUUAUUUACCUAUGUUUUUGUGUUUCUCACUUGACUCAGCUCCAUGGGGGAAGGCACUAUGUCUGUUUUGGUUCCCACUCCAUCCCUAGCAGGCAACACAAUGCCUAGCACCUAUUAGAUGCUGUCUCUAUAGAUAUAGAUAUAGAUUAUAUGUAGAUUAUACAUAGAAUAUUUAUAGAAUUAAUGAGAUUAUGGUAAAACUGCUUUGGAAUUAUAAAGGCUAUACAAUACCGGUAAUUUCUAUUUCUGCCUUCCACCUCAGAAAAGGCAGGAUAGAUAUUCUAUUAUCAUUUAAACUUGAGUGGAACUUAUUUAUAUCUGUGUGUUGAGGCUUCCAGGUAUUUGCAUCUUAAACUUUUUAUUUAUACCUGCAGAAUGAAGGGAUUUGUGCCUCUUUAAAGGAAUUUCAGGCAAUAGCCAGCAGGUCCCUGCUGUGUGCUGUACUAGGUGCUGGAGUGCCAUAAAAGGAAUCACACUCGAGGCUGAUCACAAGACUUCUUUUCCACUUGGAAGAAGCUCAUGGGAGCCAGCACUGAUGCAGGUCCAGGCCUGGGGAAAGCAUAUGCCCCCAAGACCCAUCAAGCUUGUCCCUGCCAUCUCUCUCCAUCAUUCUAGCUUCGCCCUAGCUUGUGGGUACCACGGGUACCUAUUUCCAGGAACCCAGGGAAUUCCUUUUGACCUUGCUGGGAAACUGCAAAUCACCCAACAGGAGCUUAGCUGUGCAGCCAACAUUUGGAACUACUCAAUAGCUUUCUGGAGUCAACAAAUAAGGAAAUAAUUUCUUUAGGAUAAAAAAAUGUUUUGUUUUAGUAAAGGGUAAUGGCACUCCAUUGCGAAUGGAAACUGUUCUCCCCUUGGUUUAAGUGGAGCCCAUUUGUCAGCACUGCUUGAGGCCUGCGAAGUGACCAUCUAGGUAUUUUUCUCAAGUGAAGAAUGAUCUGAGGACAUCUUCGCCACUGGGUCCCUCUUACUCAUGUGACUUCCAAGUUUUCUGGUGGUAAAGUUGGAGGCAGAGAGAGCAUGCCCCUGAAUUGGACAGUAGAGUGUCCUUCAGCUGAUAGAAGAUCACUUCAGGGCAGGUGGAGCAGCCACAGAAGAAAAUGGUCUCUUAUGUUGGAGAAGACUUUAUAUGAUCACUUGGACCAGUAAUUGCCAAUUCUGGAUGGUCACCAGAGGGUUCUUUAAAAACAGAACCAAGGUCUGCACUGCAUCUCCAAGCCUGCAGAGAAAUGAUGUGUGACAGCCCGCCUUGACAAAUCAGCACUGCUUACAGCCCUGCCACCAGAAUGCCUUCACUCUGUCCAACUUGAAUUCCCUUUAAAGCAAUGGAAGGAAUCUGCUUUCCAAGAUCCCUUCAGAAGGAAAGAUUUGCAUUGUUUAAAGGAGAAUAAAAAUCAGAUGUCUAAGAAAAAGGAAAAAGACAAAGUCUCCUUUCAAGAAGUAACAACUCUGCCAGCUUACUCAGGUCAUGAAAUAAUGCUGUUGGCAAUGACUUUGGGGUGUUCUGUCACAGUCUCAGUACACUUUCUCCCCCCUGGGCAGUAUUUUAUAGUUACUGCUUCUACGCCCCAUUGGCUCAGACAUAAUUUAUUAUUUGUUUACAUGUUUCACUUACUCUGCUAAGGUGGAAGUCCGGUGAUGCAUUAUUACUGACAGCAUCAGUGUGUGUGUGUGUGUGUCUGUGUGUGUCUAUUUGUGUGUCAUUGAAAGACUCAAGGAGAUCUGACGGGUUCUGAACCUGCAAGUUUUCAGAGCACAAGUGGCCCCCCCAGGUCUACAAGAGCCUCCCUGGGCUCUUGGCUCAGAUCAAAUGUGUCCUAUGUCCCUGUAGUUAGUUCCUUCUACUUCUCUGAGGACCAAGACAAUUCCAGGAAGACACAGGCUCCCCGGGACUGUGACUUUCUAUUCUCUCCUUUGACUUGUCUUCCUGUGUAGUGAUCAAAGUCCUCCCAUUUCUGGGGGGAACGUCACAGUUUACACAGCACUUUCUUCACGACAAUAGCAUGAAGAAAAUAAUACCUGCCCUUUAUCUCCACAUGAGACACAGACAGGUCAAGGACGUGUGCAAGUUCAAAGAGCAAGAGUGGAAUCCAGCCCGAACCAGCACCCCAUGAUGGAAGGGGAAUGACCGUGGCUGGCCCAGUCACUUACAGCUCUUUGACCAGGGGCAGCUCACGAAAAGCUCAGGUUCUUCACCUGCUAAAAGAUGGCAGUGAUAGUGCUUACUGCACAGGGCUGUUUUAGAAAUAAAAUAGAUUUCUAAAAGUGCUCAGCAAAAUGACUAGCAUGUAAUAAACGUGCAA
Long non-coding RNA from Homo sapiens (human), 3794 nucleotides. Lineage: Eukaryota; Metazoa; Chordata; Mammalia; Primates; Hominidae. The record is from Ensembl.